This 472-nucleotide ribosomal RNA is filed under the name uncultured bacterium. RNAcentral describes it as "bacterial SSU rRNA". It matches the Rfam family "Bacterial small subunit ribosomal RNA", at positions 355 to 825 of the family's 1533-position model. The record is from RNAcentral.
UCGAGAAUCAUUCGCAAUGGGCGAAAGCCUGACGGUGCGACGCCGCGUGGAGGAUGAAGGCCCUAGGGUCGUAAACUCCUGUCAUCAGGGAGUAAUGGCUCAUAUAGUAACUGAUAUGGGUCUUGAUAGUACCUGAAGAGGAAGGGACGGCAAACUUCGUGCCAGCAGCCGCGGUAAUACGAAGGUCCCAAGCGUUGUUCGGAUUUACUGGGCGUAAAGAGUCUGUAGGCGGUGGGUAAGUCAGAUGUGAAAUCCCGGGGCUCAACCCCGGAACUGCAUCCGAUACUGCCUUACUUGAGGGUCGGAGGGGAGUCUGGAAUUCUCGGUGUAGCAGUGAAAUGCGUAGAUAUCGAGAGGAACACUAGUGGCGAAGGCGAGACUCUGGACGACAACUGACGCUGAGAGACGAAGGCCAGGGGAGCGAAAAGGAUUAGAUACCCUUGUAGUCCCUGAGCGGGCUGGCAAGGCGCAU